AUGCACGCUGGCGGCGUGCCUCAUACAUGCAAGUCGAGCGAACAGACGAGGAGCUUGCUCCUCUGACGUUAGCGGCGGACGGGUGAGUAACACGUGGAUAACCUACCUAUAAGACUGGGAUAACUUCGGGAAACCGGAGCUAAUACCGGAUAAUAUAUUGAACCGCAUGGUUCAAUAGUGAAAGACGGUUUUGCUGUCACUUAUAGAUGGAUCCGCGCCGCAUUAGCUAGUUGGUAAGGUAACGGCUUACCAAGGCAACGAUGCGUAGCCGACCUGAGAGGGUGAUCGGCCACACUGGAACUGAGACACGGUCCAGACUCCUACGGGAGGCAGCAGUAGGGAAUCUUCCGCAAUGGGCGAAAGCCUGACGGAGCAACGCCGCGUGAGUGAUGAAGGUCUUCGGAUCGUAAAACUCUGUUAUUAGGGAAGAACAAAUGUGUAAGUAACUAUGCACGUCUUAACGGUACCUAAUCAGAAAGCCACGGCUAACUACGUG
RNAcentral lists this ribosomal RNA (496 nucleotides) under uncultured bacterium. Its description in RNAcentral is "partial 16S ribosomal RNA". It matches the Rfam family "Bacterial small subunit ribosomal RNA", at positions 29 to 507 of the family's 1533-position model. The record is from RNAcentral.